RNAcentral lists this ribosomal RNA (1187 nucleotides) under metagenome. RNAcentral's name for it is "SSU rRNA". It matches the Rfam family "Eukaryotic small subunit ribosomal RNA", at positions 603 to 1783 of the family's 1831-position model. The record is from RNAcentral.
AUUAAAGUUGUUGCAGUUAAAAAGCUCGUAGUUGGACUUGUGUGCGCUGUCCGCGUGUGGCCUGCGCCCAAAAGGGCGUUUCGGUUCGGCCCCGGUGGCGCCUUGAAAUCUGCAGCUGGGGGGACGUUGGCCUUAACUGGUCGGCGACCGCACGCCGGCUGCUCGGUUACUGUGAGAAAAUUAGAGUGUUCAAGGCAGGCAUUGGGUGCAAUUGAAUACAUUAGCAUGGAAUGAUAAAAUAUGGCUCCUGCCGUAUUUUGUUGGUUUUGACUGGUGGGAGUAAUGAUUGAUAGGGACGGUUGGGGGUGCUAGUAUUGAGCGGCCAGAGGUGAAAUUCAUGGAUUCGCUCAAGACUAACUUAUGCGAAAGCAUUCACCAAGGACGUCCUCUUUAAUCAAGAACGAAAGUUGGGGGGUCGAAGACGAUCAGAUACCGUCGUAGUCUCAACCAUAAACUAUGUCGACUUGGGAUCGGCGGUAGUUUUUUCAUUAAGACACUGUCGGGACCACGGGAGAAAUCAAAGUGUCUGGACUCUGGGGGAAGUAUGGUCGCAAGGCUGAAACUUGAAGGAAUUGACGGAAGGGCACCACCAGGAGUGGAGCCUGCGGCUUAAUUUGACACAACACGGGGAAACUUACCAGGUCCAGAGAUGUAGAGGAUUGACAGAUUGAAGCUCUUUCUUGAUCACUUCGGUGGUGGUGCAUGGCCGUUCUUAGUUGGUGGAGUGAUUUGUCUGGUUAAUUCCGUUAACGAACGAGACCUCAGCCUGCUAGUGUAGUCGGCUGGAUUGCCUUUGGCGAUCCGUGAUUUCGACUUCUUAGAGGGACAAUCGACGCGCAGUCGAUGGAAGUUUGAGGCAAUAACAGGUCUGUUAUGCCCUUAGAUGUUCUGGGCCGCACGCGCGCUACACUGCUGGGCUCAGCGAGUUUUACUUGGCCGAGAGGCCCGGUUAAUCUUGUGAAAUCCCAGCGUGCUUGGGCUCGCCUCCUGCAACUGGAGGCGCCAACGAGGAAUUCCUAGUAGACGCAGGUCAUCAACCUGCAUCGAUUACGUCCCUGCCCUUUGUACACACCGCCCGUCGUUCCAUAAGAGUGAGGCAUCCGGUGAAUUCUCGGGAGAGCCUGGGCGUGGCCAGCAAUGGUCUGCUCGGGUUUGAACUUGCAUAAACUUGGUGCCUAUGAUUAGGG